RNAcentral lists this unclassified non-coding RNA (276 nucleotides) under Glomus sp. RNAcentral describes it as "partial contains 5.8S ribosomal RNA and internal transcribed spacer 2". The stretch from base 1 to 65 matches the Rfam family "5.8S ribosomal RNA", at positions 84 to 154 of the family's 154-position model. Lineage: Eukaryota; Fungi; Glomeromycota; Glomeromycetes; Glomerales; Glomeraceae. The record is from RNAcentral.
GUGAAUCAUCAAAUUUUUGAACGCAAAUUGCACUCUCCUCGGAGAGUAUGCCUGUGUUAGGGUCAGCAUAUGAAAAAACGACAUAGUUGUUGUUUAUCGUUAGCGAUCGUCGGAAAUUGGAUCAUCUUAAAUCAUUUUUAUUUAAGAGACUUAUAAUCUUCUUUUGGAUCCAUGAACGUGUCUAAGAUCUAUUUCUUUACACGUUUAAGGUAUCUAUUUUUACUAGACGUGACCAUCAUAUCGGCUCGCGUCAAUAAUCUUUCAUUUACUUACCUU